This 72-nucleotide transfer RNA is filed under the name Ictidomys tridecemlineatus (thirteen-lined ground squirrel). RNAcentral describes it as "Spermophilus tridecemlineatus (thirteen-lined ground squirrel) tRNA". It matches the Rfam family "tRNA". Rfam says of the family: Transfer RNA (tRNA) molecules are approximately 80 nucleotides in length. Their secondary structure includes four short double-helical elements and three loops (D, anti-codon, and T loops). RNAcentral also lists the same sequence under 1 other name. Lineage: Eukaryota; Metazoa; Chordata; Mammalia; Rodentia; Sciuridae. The record is from Rfam by way of RNAcentral.
GGGGAUGUAGCUCAGUGGUAGAGCACUUGCCUAGCAUGCAGAAUGCCCUAAUUUUGAUCCUCAACACCCCCA